CAGGGGGAGUUAGAGGUACCCAGUGUCACGGCUCCAGACCACCACAAGGGGGAGUUAGAGGUACCCAGUGUCACGGCUUCAUUGUUCCAGACCACCACCAGGGGGAGGUAGAGGUACCCAGUGUCACGGCUUCAUUGCUCCAGACCACCACAAGGGGGAGUUAGAGGUACCCAGUGUAACGGCUCCAGACCACCACCAGGGGGAGUUAGAGGUACCCAGUGUCACGGCUUCAUUGCUUCAGACCACCACCAGGGGAGUUAGAGGUACCCAGUGUCAUGGCUCCAGACCACCACCAGGGGGAGUUAGAGGUACCCAGUUUCACA
This is a long non-coding RNA of Oncorhynchus tshawytscha (Chinook salmon), 323 nucleotides long. The record is from Ensembl. Lineage: Eukaryota; Metazoa; Chordata; Actinopteri; Salmoniformes; Salmonidae.